UAAUACGUAGGGUGCGAGCGUUAAUCGGAAUUACUGGGCGUAAAGCGUGCGCAGGCGGUUUUGUAAGCCAGAUGUGAAAUCCCCGGGCUUAACCUGGGAACUGCAUUUGGGACUGCAAGGCUUGAGUACGGCAGAGGGGGGUAGAAUUCCUGGUGUAGCAGUGAAAUGCGUAGAUAUCAGGAGGAAUACCGAUGGCGAAGGCAGCCCCCUGGGUCGAUACUGACGCUCAUGCACGAAAGCGUGGGGAGCAAACAGGAUUAGAUACCCUGGUAGUCCACGCCCUAAACGAUGUCAACUAGUUGUUGGGGGACUUACCUCCCUUAGUAACGCAGCUAACGCGUGAAGUUGACCGCCUGGGGAGUACGGUCGCAAGAUUA
Molecule: ribosomal RNA, 377 nt
Filed under: uncultured bacterium
Lineage: Bacteria
Description: bacterial SSU rRNA
Rfam family: Bacterial small subunit ribosomal RNA
Source: RNAcentral